This 249-nucleotide long non-coding RNA is filed under the name Nicotiana benthamiana. RNAcentral's name for it is "long non-coding RNA (NBEN_LNC038783)". Lineage: Eukaryota; Viridiplantae; Streptophyta; Magnoliopsida; Solanales; Solanaceae. The record is from RNAcentral.
AUUUUAAGAAUGUCCCAUCAACCACUACUACCGGCCUACAAUGUUGCCAACCAUUUAUUGAUGUAGAAAGAGCAACAAAUGCAUACAAAAAGCAAUCAUCCGCUGCCUUCUUCAAUUUAACAACAGAACCUGGAUAAUUCUUCUCAAGAAUAUAAAAAUAUUUUGGUAAUCUGUUGUACGAGUCACACGGAUUCCCUCGCAGAAACUGUAAUGCUUUUUCCUUUGCUCUCCAUGCUUGCAUGUAGCUUA